GGGGAAUUUUGGACAAUGGGCGCAAGCCUGAUCCAGCCAUUCCGCGUGAGUGAAGAAGGCCUUCGGGUUGUAAAGCUCUUUCGCAAGGGAAGAAAACUUACUUUCUAAUAAAGAGUGAGGCUGACGGUACCUUGAUAAGAAGCACCGGCUAACUACGUGCCAGCAGCCGCGGUAAUACGUAGGGUGCGAGCGUUAAUCGGAAUUACUGGGCGUAAAGCGUGCGCAGGCGGUUUGGCAAGUCAGAUGUGAAAUCCCCGAGCUCAACUUGGGAACUGCGUUUGAAACUGCCAGACUAGAAUAUGUCAGAGGGGGGUAGAAUUCCACGUGUAGCAGUGAAAUGCGUAGAGAUGUGGAGGAAUACCAAUGGCGAAGGCAGCCCCCUGGGAUAAUAUUGACGCUCAUGCACGAAAGCGUGGGGAGCAAAC
RNAcentral lists this ribosomal RNA (425 nucleotides) under uncultured bacterium. Its description in RNAcentral is "bacterial SSU rRNA". It matches the Rfam family "Bacterial small subunit ribosomal RNA", at positions 356 to 773 of the family's 1533-position model. The record is from RNAcentral.